UCCUUGGUAGCUCAGCUGGUAAAGAAUCUGCCUACAAUGCAGGAGACCCUGGUUCAAUUCCUGGGUCAGGAA
Molecule: transfer RNA, 72 nt
Filed under: Bos taurus (domestic cattle)
Lineage: Eukaryota; Metazoa; Chordata; Mammalia; Artiodactyla; Bovidae
Also listed under: 1 other name
Rfam family: tRNA
About the family: Transfer RNA (tRNA) molecules are approximately 80 nucleotides in length. Their secondary structure includes four short double-helical elements and three loops (D, anti-codon, and T loops).
Source: Rfam by way of RNAcentral